Molecule: long non-coding RNA, 1737 nt
Organism: Cyprinus carpio carpio
Lineage: Eukaryota; Metazoa; Chordata; Actinopteri; Cypriniformes; Cyprinidae
Source: Ensembl
GUAUGUGAUAGAAUAAUAUCUGAAUAUUUAUUACGAUAUUGAAGUUAUACGUUGAAGUGUUGUUUGAAUUUUAAACAGAGCUGCUGCUUUGCUGAGUCCGGAUUCAAAUACUGAGCGGAAGCGGAAGCGCUCGAGUGUAAACAGACUCUGUAGCUGAACUUUAAAGAGACUCAAGCCUCUUUUUAUUUGUGAUCUACUGUCUCAGUCUAAAUUACACUCACACUGGGGUUUGAGGAAGACAAACUAACUACAAUAGAAUAAUAAUAACAACAGUGACAGUAAUAGUGAUAUAUUGUAGAACAGUUUCACUGUAAAAUAAAUGAAAAUGAAUAUUUCAUAGGUAUAUUGUUAUUGUUUUACACUACAGCAGGGACAUCACAACACUUCUUUCCUAAUUUCUACACUUGAGAGAGAUGUUUAGAGUCUGGAGUGUGUUUAAACCUGUAGCUGUCAGUAACUGAUGCUGCACUUGAAGCUUUUAUUCUGAAGGAAACUCCAGCUUCAGUGAAAACAGGCUUACAAAAACCCCCUCACUACAAAUCUAGAGAAACGCUGUGAAGAUAAAGCAGAACUGCUGUCUGUUGUGUUCCCAAACGCGCUCUAAACUCACAGCAGUCGUCUGCGCAGACGCAGAAGGAUCAGGAGACGGCUCUGACGGAGGAAGAGCGCAGACAACAGCAGGAACUACUGCAGUCUUUAGCGGAGUGUGUCCUUCACGUGUCCAGGCGCAGGCUCACGUCUGGAGGACACACUGACCUCCAUCUGUCUGCACACACAACACCUCACAGGAUCCCUCUCUGCUGCCACCAGAAACUCACAGAGUCAAUCUGCAGAACACACUCGUGUCAUCAUCAGUCGAUACAUCACAUCAUCACACCACAGUCAGCAAGAACCGAGCCUUUCCCAAGCUUUCAGUCGAGUGCUUCACUGAAGUGCCUGAAACAGCACACGCUAGUGACACCUGCUGGUCAAACUCUGUAAAUGCAACAAAACUUCUGCAAAAACAGGCAUAAAAACACCUUUUACAACCCCAAGGCAAAUACAUUCUUCAAAGUAUAAUAUAUUAAAUGGACUUUAAAUAUUAAAAUACCAUUGCAUAUGAAGUGUCUGUAUAUAUGUGAUUUAAAUUUUUUUUAUUAAUUUGCAGGGCUUGUUUAGUUUGUUUUAUGGAGAGCUUGUCUGAACAGUCAGUAAGAGACUAUUAACUACUACUCAUCCUGUUAAUUACACAACAUUAGAAAUAUCUUCAAACUGAUUUCCCAAAGUUUUGAAGCUUCACAUCAGGCUGAUCUUAAAGCUGAUUGGCUGUAAUGUUCCAUCAGCUGACAGGAAGACGUUUUCUCCGUCCAGUGAAGAGAAAUGGAGUCCAGUGCCAAAGAUCUGUCGAGUUUCAAAGAUGAACUGCACUUUUAUAUUAUUGUCUUUAAACAUUUUGCCAGUUAUUUAAUCAAGUUUUAUAUGUUUUUCUUGACAUCUCUGUACAUCUUACGGCUUCAGCAGCGCUUUUCUUGCUGGUUUUGUCUUUGCACACUUGAAUAAAUUGUGAAAAUUGUUGUAAUUUGUCAUUUAAAACUAGAUUUCAAUUGAUAAUACAAAAUCAUAUUUUCAGAAACAAUGUCAGAGGUCAAUUCUGGGUUCAUUUAUACAUGAAUCUGUCAGUUAUGAGGGAAAAAAAUAUGCAAUAUACUAUACAUGUAAUUUUUUUUCUCUGAAUUGCAAGAAAAAGUAAUAACUGAG